CUUGACGGAGCCCAGCCACAGGGGCUGUUCCCGGUCCUGCCCGUACGUGGACAGCAGCGCCUGCGCCUC
Non-coding RNA from Streptomyces variegatus, 69 nucleotides. The record is from Rfam. NCBI's taxonomy places the organism in Bacteria, Bacillati, Actinomycetota, Actinomycetes, Kitasatosporales, Streptomycetaceae.